AUUGGCUACGUGCAUGGCCCAUGCAUGUGCAAAGGCCACUUAUGUAGUGCACUGCCACACAUUCAGAGGUACUUAAUGUUCAGCUUCAUUCUUCUAUAGCAUUUGAUGUAGACGAAAUCCUCCGGCUGGAAAUGGACGGCAUGUGUGGCGACAUCCCGAGUACCACGUCCAUUGCUUCAUGCGGUGGUGAGCCAAACGGCCAUCUUCACGCCUUAGACGCACACGAGUACGUAUCAGGAGCAUGCCUUCUUGUUCUUGUGUAGACCACUUCAUGAUGUUUGGCUGGACUAACGUGACACCAUCGCCAAGGCACCAUCGAGUCCGGACGAGAUGAAGGAUAGGCACUAACCCGAUGCCAAAUGGGAUCUCGUUUCCCUUGAAGGAGACGCGAGCAGCACCGUCAUGCCACGUGAAGGAGUCGGUGAUGUCGACAUGGUCCGCGGCUUCGUCCUUCAUGGUACCGGCUCGUCGAGGUGGGCGAAGGGUGUGACGGGUGAUUUGAACGCCGGGAGGCAUCGUGGCGAGCACCAUGUCGUGGUCCUCGGCGUGAUGAAAUGGAGGUGAGCAGUGUGAUGGCGAGUUCUGCGUCGUCGACUUCUACGGCACCAUCUUGAUGAAGUGAACGAAUGGCCCGACGGCGAACUCCAGAUCACCGUCUUCAGCGGCGUCCCUCCAGCGCGACGAAGCGGACGACGGGCUCCAUAGAGCGGUGAGGCUGACCUACGUGUCAUCGACCUCCAA
Molecule: ribosomal RNA, 741 nt
Filed under: Triticum aestivum (bread wheat)
Lineage: Eukaryota; Viridiplantae; Streptophyta; Magnoliopsida; Poales; Poaceae
Description: partial small subunit ribosomal RNA
Source: RNAcentral